RNAcentral lists this ribosomal RNA (534 nucleotides) under Triticum aestivum (bread wheat). RNAcentral describes it as "partial small subunit ribosomal RNA". Lineage: Eukaryota; Viridiplantae; Streptophyta; Magnoliopsida; Poales; Poaceae. The record is from RNAcentral.
AUGUCAACGGACGGUCUGGAGCUUAACGGUAACUUUGGAGCCAACCUUGCCGGAUUGGAGUUUGAUGUGUUCCCGGUGGAAUCCCAGGAUUCCAUGAGUGCUCCACCCAUAGAGCUCGAGAAGAACGAAGAAUCAGGGCUGAUCAAAGAUGGGCAGAGAUUUGAGGUGUGCUCUGAAGCUACAAGCGGCUGGACGAGGAGAGUGAGGCUAGGGAAGGUACCUGAUGAGAGGGGCAUGAACCCGGACAGGAAGACGGCACUUGAGCUGUCUAUCCGUGCUUUUGCCGAAAAAGGUGAAGGGCAUGUCGUGAGUCCAAAAAUUGGCACGGAGUUUGACUCGCUGGACGAGGCGUAUGAGUUCUACAACGUAUAUUCAUGGGAAAUAGGGUUCAGUAUACGGCUGGCAAAGAGCAGGCUGAACGUGCAAAGAACAAGAUGUAUGCAAGAGAUUGUCUGUGCGUGUGCGGGGUCCCCGUUGAAGGAGAACAGCCGUUCUUCGAGGUGUGGUUGCAGUGCAAUGAUAAGGCUGCUCUGA